AAGUCGUAACAAGGUUUCCGUAGGUGAACCUGCGGAAGGAUCAUUAGUUGACAGGCCGUUCGCGCGGUACCUGAAACCCUCCUUACAGCGGCCGGAGUUCGGCGCAAGGGCGAAGCCCCUCGCGGGGCGGAGUCGCGACGAGUCUCCGGCCAAAACCCAUGCCCAUUGAAACUUGACGGUCUGAGAGAAUGAUGAAUUAGCGAAAA
Molecule: unclassified non-coding RNA, 206 nt
Filed under: plant metagenome
Description: partial contains small subunit ribosomal RNA and internal transcribed spacer 1
Rfam family: Eukaryotic small subunit ribosomal RNA (bases 1-46)
Source: RNAcentral